This 1304-nucleotide long non-coding RNA is filed under the name Homo sapiens (human). Its description in RNAcentral is "non-protein coding lnc-CCSAP-3:4". Lineage: Eukaryota; Metazoa; Chordata; Mammalia; Primates; Hominidae. The record is from RNAcentral.
CUCUGUUCUUGUACUGGAUUUCCUUAAAGGAGAGGCCUCCAGUGCACCUCGUCAGCUGCACUCAGCUCUUAAAUGCAGCUAUUCACAGAGGGCCCAGGCUCUCCCCUGCCCUGUGACACUACGUGGGACACACACCUCCACAGGGAAUUUGAAGAAUCUCCAGGAGGGCCAGAGAGUAGACUUGGAUGCCACCCAGCCAGCAAUAGAGAAGUUGGGACCACCCAGCCAGGGACAAGGCCACACCUCAGCCAUCACCACCCACAAGCAACGCAGCAUGUAUGAGCUGGGACAGGACACCAGAAACUACCUCAUGAUUGCUCCGGAAGAAGCAGCUGCAGGUGCUCAGCCAUCUUUAUUUCCUGCCACCCCCAAACUAUGAAGACAGCAAAGCAGCCUGUGGAGAGGCUGCUCACAGAGGCAACCCCACCCUUACUUGGUGAUGGCACGUGGAACUCCACCUCCCAGGUGGAAAAUGGAAAAAUUGUUUCCUUCUCUGAUCUACUGCCUGAGCUGUCAUCAGGAUUUUGAGGACUGACUUAAUGAAUAAAAUAUAAAGGCUUAGCGUGAGCCUGGGAUAUGCAUGGUGGAAGAGAAUAAAUAGCCUUUUGUAUAUCAAAGAUACUUUCUGGGUAACCCAAUCUGAGAAAUAGCUACUUCAGCCACAUCUGCUGUUAGGGAAGGCUGAGAAAAUAGUGACUAUAAAAUGAAAUGAGGCUUGUAGGUGAACCACAUGAAAUCCUGUGAACCGGGGAGAAGUCACCAGCUAUUACAAUGGAGUCUAGCUAAGAAGGGGCACGUGGGGGUGGGGAGAUCGUGACCAAUCAACAGUGCAGCUUGAAAAUGUGGGUUUUCUCUUGGGAAGCUUCAUUCCCUGGGAAGGAAGAAGCUAUAACGAAACAGGAGCAAUGAAGCUUUGCCUGGAGAGGAUGCUGCUCACAUUUGCAUGUUAAAUGAACUGAGGCCUCUCCUGGCUCCCCUUGGAGGGCUCUCAGAGGCAGCUCUAGCCUCAGAGGGUCUCUUGCCCACAUCUUACUCUGGUUCAGAGCCCACAUCCCCAAAGAGAGCCUUGUACACAGCAGGUAUUCAAUCAAUAUUUGUAUUAAAUUGCAUUUUAAAAGCUGAUUACUUGAGUGACCCCUUCCCCUACCCACCCCCAAAGACUGUCCUCCAGUAUCUCUUUGUGCAUAUCCUGAAUUCAAGCUGCAGUGAGAGGCUUUAGCAAGAGAGAGAAAACCCACUCUAAAAGCUUCAUUUGCGACAAUUUCCAUUUUAUUUCUCACCACCACCAGCCUUUGGACGAACAG